GACGAACGCUGGCGGCGUGCCUAACACAUGCAAGUCGAACGCGAAAGAGGGGGCAACCCCUCGAGUAGAGUGGCGAACGGGUGAGUAACGCGUGAAGAACCUGCCUUCGAGAGGGGGAUAACACUCCCAACGGGGUGCUAAUACCGCAUGAGACCACGGGUCCACCUGGACCUGAGGUCAAAGGUGGCCUCUGCUUGCAAGCUACCGCUCGAAGAUGGCUUCGCGUCCCAUUAGCUAGUUGGCGGUGUAACGGACCACCAAGGCGACGAUGGGUAGCUGGUCUGAGAGGAUGGUCAGCCACACUGGGACUGAGAUACGGCCCAGACUCCUACGGGAGGCUG
This 341-nucleotide ribosomal RNA is filed under the name uncultured Latescibacterota bacterium. RNAcentral's name for it is "bacterial SSU rRNA". It matches the Rfam family "Bacterial small subunit ribosomal RNA", at positions 28 to 351 of the family's 1533-position model. Lineage: Bacteria; Pseudomonadati; Candidatus Latescibacterota. The record is from RNAcentral.